UCUCAGUACGAGCUGACCUAAAGUGAAACCGCAAAAGGCUCAGUAAACCGGUCAUAGUUUACCGGAUAUAGUUACUCACGUGGAUAACUGUGGUAAUUCUAGAGCUAAUACAUGCAAACAAGUCCCGACCAGCGAUGGAGAGGACGCUUUUAUUGGAUCAAAACCAUUCGCCCGGCUUGCCGGGCGUCGGCUUGAUGACUCUAGAUAACACCACAGAUCGCACGGUCACAGUACCGGUGACAUAUCCUUCAAAUGUCUGACUUAUCAGCUGUCGAUGGUAGACUCUGUGUCUACCAUGGCGCUCACGGGUGACGGGGAAUCAGGGUUCGAUUCCGGAGAGGGAGCCUGAGAAACGGCUACCACAUCCAAGGAAGGCAGCAGGCACGCAAAUUACCCACUCCCGGCACGGGGAGGUAGUGACAAAAAAUAACGAUACGGGACUCAUCCGAGGCCCCGUAAUCGGAAUGAGAACACCCUAAAUCCUUUAACGAGGAUCUAUUGGAGGGCAAGUCUGGUGCCAGCAGCCGCGGUAAUUCCAGCUCCAAUAGCGUAUAUUAAAGUUGUUGCGGUUAAAAAGCUCGUAGUUGGUUCUGCGUGCCACGCUGUCGGUUCACCGCCUGCCGGUGCAACUGGCAUGUCGUGGCAUGUCCUGUCGGUGGCGGAUAGACUCGUAGGGUGCCCUAUUCGGUUCGUCCGCGUAGGCUGCGCUCCGCGAUGUUCUAUUCGCCGGCUCAAUCCUACCGCGGUGCUCUUUACCGAGUGUCGAGGUAGGCCGACACUGUUUACUUUGAACAAAUUAGAGUGCUUAAGCAGGCUCUUAAAUCAGCCUGAAUAGUGGUGCAUGGAAUAAUGGAACAGGACCUUGGUUCUAUUUUGUUGGUUUUCGGAAUCCAAGGUAUUGAUCAAUUAAGGACAGGGCGGGGGG
This 925-nucleotide ribosomal RNA is filed under the name Rhopalus sapporensis. Its description in RNAcentral is "bacterial SSU rRNA". It matches the Rfam family "Eukaryotic small subunit ribosomal RNA", at positions 58 to 889 of the family's 1831-position model. Lineage: Eukaryota; Metazoa; Arthropoda; Insecta; Hemiptera; Rhopalidae. The record is from RNAcentral.